Molecule: non-coding RNA, 1660 nt
Organism: Camellia sinensis
Lineage: Eukaryota; Viridiplantae; Streptophyta; Magnoliopsida; Ericales; Theaceae
Source: RefSeq, a predicted model, not a curated record
CUCCAAUAAGUUAUUGAAAAGUGUAGCAGACUUGCAAUCUUUCCAUUUCCAACUCUCCUAUGAGUCAGCUUGUAGGAAAGAAAUCAGACAAUUAAGCAGCAUAUAUAUAAUAUUUUGUUACUUGUAUUGUUGUCCUUUAACUUUUAUGAAGCAACUAACAUCAUAAAUUGCAAGACAUUAUUGUAUCUUUCAGUACUAAACAGAAUAUUUUCACUAUGUGGCAAAAACAAUCCUUCUAAAUUUGCACUUAUAUGAUUUUACCUUUGAGAUGAAUUAAUCUCUUCAAUUGGAUAGUAUAAUUGACAAUUUCCAAAGCUAGGUCUGAGGGGAAGAAAGGAGAGAAAAUCAGGAUCAGCUUGGCAUUAUUAAUGGAAAUGGGCCUGUUAAUCUUUUGUCUCAUCUUUUAUGUGUGGAGAAAGAAGCAGAAGCAGCAGAUAAAGAGAAAAAGAACAAUGAGAGAUAUCUUUAAACAAGGUUGCAACAAUGAAAGCCAGAAGCAAGACUUAGAGCUACCACUGUUUGAUUUAGCUACAAUAAUGAAUGCUACCAGUAACUUUUCAGCAAGCAAUAAGCUUGGAGAGGGGGGUUUUGGCACUGUCUACAAGGGUACGCUGGAAGAGAGACAACAAAUAGCUGCGAAGAGGCUUUCGAGGAACUCUAGACAAGGAAUUGAUUAAUUCAAGAUGAAGUUAUAUGGAUUGCCAAACUCUAGCAUCAGAAUCUUGUAAAGCUUCUAGGGAGCUGCAUUCAAGGAGAAGAGAAGAUGUUGAUCUAUGAAUACAUGCCUAACAAAAGCUUGGACUCCUUUAUUUUUGGUCCGGCUUUGUCAAAACCAUAGUAAUUUUUAGAUCAAAAAGUGUACUACAUUUUUCAAGUAUUCCAUCUACUGGUGUGGUGGUUUGGCACAAAGUUCCUCUAGAAUUUGGUUGGACCAAGUUCAAAUGGCUGCCUAUGUGAGCAGAGAAAUGAAGUACCUGCCAUCUUGCAAUUAUUAUUGUUAUUUUUUAAAUAAAAAGUAAUUCAAGUGGCUGCCUAUGUGAAUUUGUUGCCAAUCGAAUGUUCGUGUAUUCAAAGUUAAAAAUACUUUUUUACACUCAAAUAUAUAAACACAGUUAACUUAGUCAAAGAUAUGCAGAUCCAAUCCGAAGCACCAUACUUGAUUGGCCAAAGCGCUUUCACAUUAUCAAUGGAAUUGCUCAAGCAUUUCUUUUUCUUUAUCUUUAUCAAGAUUCAAGACUAAGAAUUAUCCACAGGGAUCUCAAAGUUAGCAAUGUUUUGUUAGAUAUUGUCAUGAACCCAAAGAUAUCAGACUUCGGCAUGGCUAGAAGUUUCAAAGGAGAUGAGACAGAAGCAAACACAAAUAGAGUGGUUGGAACAUAUGACUACAUGUCUCCAAAAUAUGCGGUUGAUGGAUAUUUCUCAGUAAAGUCAGAUAUAUUCAGCUUUGGUGUUUUGGUUUUGGAGAUUAUGAGCGGGAAGAGAAACAAAUCCGGAUCAUAACCUCAACCUUCUUAGACAUGCAUGGAUGGUGUAUAAAGAGGGCAAGUCCUUUGAUUUGCUUGAUGAAGUUGUAAGGGACUCUUGUCAUGUACAUGAAGUGUUGAGAUCAAUUCAUGCGUGUCUAUUGUGUGUGCGACAAAGUCCAAAAGAUAGGUCAACC